Molecule: long non-coding RNA, 1074 nt
Organism: Myotis brandtii (Brandt's bat)
Lineage: Eukaryota; Metazoa; Chordata; Mammalia; Chiroptera; Vespertilionidae
Exons: 3
Source: RefSeq, a predicted model, not a curated record
UGAGGAUCCGCAUCUGAGCCUGGUUGGGCAUCGCCCCGCUAGGCGUCAGCGGCUCCACCAGCUGUGGAGAGAGGCCUCCGCAUCGUGUACUUCCGGAUCUUCUGCCGCCUUCUCCUGAUUAGGAUGCCGAGGACUGCCCCCACGACCAUGACCAGCAGAAUGCCCACCACAGCAGCAAUGAUGGACGUCACAGGGCUGCAGACAGGGGCCAAGGUCAUGGUUUUCCACGCCUCCCAACCUCUGCACAUGCUGCUACUUCUGCCCGGACCACCCCUUCUCUGUGGGAUCACCCUUCAGACUCGGCCUGGAAUCGCUGGCACUCCUGGGCAUUGACUGUCCUCCUUGCCCCUCCCCUGCUUAGCCAGGGGCUGGCGCAUUGCAGACUCUAGUGAACGCUUGCUUCCUAGACAAAUGAUUGCCUAGGACAUACACCAAUCUUUUUCUCCCCAAAGCCCUUCCCCCAGCCCCCCACUGCCCAGAAGCCCAGUCCAACCCUGUGGCCUGCUGGUGAGGGAGGCCCAUGCCCUCCAGAUCCAGCCUGAGCCUGACUCAGACUCACCCUGCAUCCCUCCUCUGUGCUGACUAACAGAGCACCACGCCAGCACCUUCCAGGAAGCACAGCCUAGGUUUUUCCGACCCUUCCCCAGGAAGCCACUUAAGCUGCUUUCCCCCUAAGGCAAGUGACGUACCUGCCCCUCUUUCAAGGCCUGGCUCAAAUGCCACCUCCUCCUUGAAGCCUGCCUCCACCCCCUCCUCUCCCUCAGGGCUGCAGCUGCACCCUCUUCUCCAUCUGCCUGGAGUCCCAGGGUCCCUUACGAGACGUCUAGCUACUCGAGGGUGGGAGGUACUGGGAACCUGUGCCAUCUUUUCCUGUUCCCCAGGCCACAAGCAUCCUGAGCAGGUCCUCCAGCCACUUGUUGAAACGAAUUGGAAGGAGGACCCACAGUGGAAGAGUGGGCAGGAAAGGGACCUGUGUCAUGUCAGGAGGCGCCCCCCCUCUCCUUUGUUCAGCAGUGACCACCCAGGGGCCGGUGGGAGACGGGGGAGCAGCCAGGGGCAUGUCCUGGGGACCAC